AUUGAACGCUGGCGGCAUGCCUUACACAUGCAAGUCGAACGGUAACAGGUCUUCGGAUGCUGACGAGUGGCGAACGGGUGAGUAAUGCAUCGGAACGUGCCCAGUUGUGGGGGAUAACUGCUCGAAAGAGCAGCUAAUACCGCAUACGACCUGAGGGUGAAAGCGGGGGAUCGCAAGACCUCGCGCAAUUGGAGCGGCCGAUGUCAGAUUAGGUAGUUGGUGGGGUAAAGGCCUACCAAGCCGACGAUCUGUAGUUGGUCUGAGAGGACGACCAGCCACACUGGGACUGAGACACGGCCCAGACGCCUACGGGAGGCAGCAGUGGGGAAUUUUGGACAAUGGGCGCAAGCCUGAUCCAGCAAUGCCGCGUGCAGGAAGAAGGCCUUCGGGUUGUAAACUGCUUUUGUCAGGGAAGAAAUCCUCUGGGUUAAUACCCCGGGGGGAUGACGGUACCUGAAGAAUAAGCACCGGCUAACUACGUGCCAGCAGCCGCAGUAA
This 498-nucleotide ribosomal RNA is filed under the name uncultured bacterium. Its description in RNAcentral is "partial 16S ribosomal RNA". It matches the Rfam family "Bacterial small subunit ribosomal RNA", at positions 30 to 523 of the family's 1533-position model. The record is from RNAcentral.